UUUUGAGGUGUGAGUUAGGUCCAAGAUCAAUUUUCUCAUGGUAUCAGAUCCAGGCCCAUCCCAAAUCUUUGUCUACCGAUGGUGGGCCCCCAUAUAUUGUCCAUGCUCCAGUUAGCAUGGGCAUGCGGGGAAGUGUUAAGUAUCCCAUAUCCGAAGAGAAAAGGGUCCUUGGUCUCCUUAUAAGGCUUGGGCAAUCCUCCUCCUCAUGAGAUAGCU
Molecule: long non-coding RNA, 216 nt
Filed under: Capsicum annuum
Lineage: Eukaryota; Viridiplantae; Streptophyta; Magnoliopsida; Solanales; Solanaceae
Description: long non-coding RNA (CANN_LNC007585)
Source: RNAcentral